This is a long non-coding RNA of Acanthopagrus latus (yellowfin seabream), 432 nucleotides long. RefSeq lists it as uncharacterized. The transcript is spliced from 3 exons. The record is from RefSeq and is a predicted model, not a curated record. Lineage: Eukaryota; Metazoa; Chordata; Actinopteri; Spariformes; Sparidae.
CGCUCCUAGCAGCCCCCCCUCACACGCAAGCGCAGUGUCUGCUCUCACCUGGUCAGAGACCUUCAGACACAAGCACGAACUGUAAACAACAACAACAACAACAACAACAACAACAACAGAGCAGAAUCAUGUCCCACCAUCAUCCAGGUCCAAGAGAAGAAAUAAGAAGCCUGAAGAAGAAAAGCAGAGUGAAAACAAAGAAGUGGACCGAGCCAGAGAGGAAACCAGGAUAAAUAUCAGAGCAUCAUUUCAGAGGUGGAGGAGCUGCGGGUCUGUCAGGACUUUUCUGCUGGACAGUGUCUCUCCGCCUGCACCUCAUCAACUUUUGCUGCUCAUGAGGGAAACGUCGCUCUCUUCAGAUGAUCUGGAAAUAUAUACACAGACGCCUCAUUGAAUUAUGAAUGUAACAAAUAAAGAUUGAUUGAAAGAUGA